Molecule: ribosomal RNA, 777 nt
Filed under: uncultured Neocallimastigales
Lineage: Eukaryota; Fungi; Neocallimastigomycota; Neocallimastigomycetes; Neocallimastigales
Description: partial large subunit ribosomal RNA
Rfam family: Eukaryotic large subunit ribosomal RNA
Source: RNAcentral
ACACUGACGUCGCGACGCAUAUCAAUAAGCGGAGGAAAAGAAACUAACAAGGAUUCCCUUAGUAACGGCGAGUGAAGCGGGAAGAGCUCAAAUUUGAAAUCUUCAAGGUUCUACCUUGACGAAUUGUAGUUUAAAGAAGUGUUUUCUGUUAGAUGAGUAGCAAAAGUUCCUUGGAAUAGGGACAUCAUAGAGGGUGAGAAUCCCGUAUUUGGUCAUUCCUUCUAGCUUUGUGAUACACUUUCAAAGAGUCGGAUUGUUUGGGAAUGCAGUCCAAAAUGGGUGGUAAAUUUCAUCUAAAGCUAAAUAUUGGCGAGAGACCGAUAGCGAACAAGUACCGUGAGGGAAAGAUGAAAAGAACUUUGAAAAGAGAGUUAAACAGUACGUGAAAUUGUCAAAAGGGAAGCGUUUGACACCAGUGUUGUUUUUCCGAAAAUCAAUUACGAAUGGCUUGAUUUUGUGUUGUAUUGACCUUAUCAGCUUUCUGCACUUUUUUCGAGUCUUUCUUAAUGCACUUUUCGGUUAACAAGUCAACAUCAAUUUCUUUUGUUGUAAAAGAGUAUUCGGAAGGUGGCUUUCUUUUCGGAGAAAGUGUUUAUAGCCCUAUACUUCUACAAUCGGAGAGAUUGAGGUCUGCAGCGUAGAUCCUUCGGGGUUAGAUACACUUUGUGCUAAGUUGUAGCUUUUCAUAGACAACUUGUUGACUAUGUUUAGUCAUUGUAGGCUUACUCGCUUGUGCUAUUUUACCUACGCUUAGGAUGUGAGUCGUAGAGCACGCAG